UACAGAGGGUGCAAGCGUUACUCGGAAUUACUGGGCGUAAAGCGUGCGUAGUCGGCUUUUUAAGUCGGGUGUGAAAUCCCCGGGCUCAACCUGGGAAUUGCAUUCGAUACUGGAUGGCUAGAGUUCGGCAGAGGGAAGUGGAAUUUCUGGUGUAGCGGUGAAAUGCGUAGAUAUCAGAAGGAACAUCAGUGGCGAAAGCGACUUCCUGGACCAGAACUGACGAUCAGGCACGAAAGCGUGGGGAGCAAACAGG
This 253-nucleotide ribosomal RNA is filed under the name uncultured bacterium. RNAcentral's name for it is "partial 16S ribosomal RNA". It matches the Rfam family "Bacterial small subunit ribosomal RNA", at positions 524 to 776 of the family's 1533-position model. The record is from RNAcentral.